RNAcentral lists this ribosomal RNA (497 nucleotides) under uncultured bacterium. RNAcentral describes it as "partial 16S ribosomal RNA". It matches the Rfam family "Bacterial small subunit ribosomal RNA", at positions 28 to 507 of the family's 1533-position model. The record is from RNAcentral.
GAUGAACGCUGGCGGCGUGCCUAAUACAUGCAAGUCGAGCGAACGGACGAGAAGCUUGCUUCUCUGAUGUUAGCGGCGGACGGGUGAGUAACACGUGGAUAACCUACCUAUAAGACUGGGAUAACUUCGGGAAACCGGAGCUAAUACCGGAUAAUAUUUUGAACCGCAUGGUUCAAAAGUGAAAGACGAUCUUGCUGUCACUUAUAGAUGGAUCCGCGCUGCAUUAGCUAGUUGGUAAGGUAACGGCUUACCAAGGCAACGAUGCAUAGCCGACCUGAGAGGGUGAUCGGCCACACUGGAACUGAGACACGGUCCAGACUCCUACGGGAGGCAGCAGUAGGGAAUCUUCCGCAAUGGGCGAAAGCCUGACGGAGCAACGCCGCGUGAGUGAUGAAGGUCUUCGGAUCGUAAAACUCUGUUAUUAGGGAAGAACAUAUGUGUAAGUAACUGUGCACAUCUUGACGGUACCUAAUCAGAAAGCCACGGCUAACUACGUG